GACCAGCUGCUUGCCAAAUCUGAGCCAAUGAAUUGCACCUCUGUGGUAAAGUAUUUAAGAGAGGAUAAAAACACUGAACAGCAGCUUUGAGAGAGAAGGAAGAAAAUAUGGAGAGAAACAGUCAUGAAGACACCAAGCUCAGUGAAGAAGGAGGAGAAGAGAUAUUCCGGGCACCAGAGCAGAACAUUCCUGUGGGACUGUGAUGAAGUGUGAUUGAAGCAGAUUGAGCCCCUGCAGCCCGUGGUGUAUCAUAUCAUAUCAGAGCAGAGAUCUGCACUACAGUCUGUGGAGGACUCCAUACCAGAUCAGGCAGACCUGCUUAGCAGUAAACUUCAGUAUAUAGAGACCAGCUCAUACUGAAGCAGGGGAGGAGCAUUAUAAGGAAAGAACAGUACAGGCAAAUUGUUACAAACCACAACCACAUUCCACUGUCCUCAUUCCCCUGAAUCACUUAAAGAAGAAGACAUAGAAAACUCAAGACUGAAGUUGAGCCUAAGAAGAAGAGGCAGGCGGAAGAAGGUCACUGAUUAAGAUGUUAAAGAAGCCAGGACCCAGCACUGACUCCUGCUUCAGAGCUGUUCCAGCCAAAACCACAGCGACUGACCGCAAGGUCAAUUGCUGCAGAAGAGACCAAGGCACCUGCAUGCUUUCCAGGAAAUAUUCAAUAUACAUUCUGAUUUCUCCUAACUGUUUACGAAACAGAAAAUGAUUAUCUAUGGCUUUUGCAGGAGAAUAUCUGAGGCACCACAGUUUUCACUAGUUAGGAUGAAAAAUAACUGUGGUGUCACAAAGAAACCAUAAUAUUUAACCAUUUCCAAGGACUAAAUAUCCUUUGAGAACGACAACACACCUGAAACUGGUAAGGGGUCUGGAGCACAAGUCUAAUGAAGAGCAGCUGAGGAAGCUGGGAUUGUUCAGUCUGGAGAAGAAGAGGCUCAGGGGAGAUCUCAAUGCAUUCUACAAUGUCCUGAAGGGAAGUUUUGAUGAGGAGGGGUUUGGCCUCUUCUCCCAGGCGACAAACAGGACCCAAGGAAAUGGCCACAAGUUGUACC
Molecule: long non-coding RNA, 1052 nt
Organism: Meleagris gallopavo (turkey)
Lineage: Eukaryota; Metazoa; Chordata; Aves; Galliformes; Phasianidae
Source: RefSeq, a predicted model, not a curated record